UAACACAUGCAAGUCGAACGAGCGAGAGAGAGCUUGCUUUCUCAAGCGAGUGGCGAACGGGUGAGUAACGCGUGAGGAACCUGCCUCAAAGAGGGGGACAACAGUUGGAAACGACUGCUAAUACCGCAUAAGCCCACAGCUCGGCAUUGAGCAGAGGGAAAAGGAGCAAUCCGCUUUGAGGUGGCCUCGCGUCCGAUUAGCUAGUUGGUGAGGUAACGGCCUACCAAGGCGACGAUCGGUAGCCGGACUGAGAGGUUGAACGGCCACAUUGGGACUGAGACACGGCCCGGACUCCUACGGGAGGCAGCAGUGGGGAAUAUUGCACAAUGGGGGAAACCCUGAUGCAGCGACGCCGCGUGGAGGAAGAAGGUCUUCGGAUUGUAAACUCCUGUUGUUGAGGAAGAUAAUGACGGUACUCAACAAGGAAGUGACGGCUAACUACGUGCCAGCAGCCGCGGUAAAACGUAGGUCACAAGCGUUGUCCGGAAUUACUGGGUGUAAAGGGAGCGCAGGCGGGAAGACAAGUUGGAAGUGAAAUCUGUGGGCUCAACCCAUAAACUGCUUUCAAAACUGUUUUUCUUGAGUAGUGCAGGGGUAGGCGGAAUUCCCGGUGUAGCGGUGGAAUGCGUAGAUAUCGGGAGGAACACCAGUGGCGAAGGCGGCCUACUGGGCACCAACUGACGCUGAGGCUCGAAAGUGUGGGUAGCAAACAGGAUUAGAUACCCUGGUAGUCCACACCGUAAACGAUGA
Molecule: ribosomal RNA, 750 nt
Filed under: uncultured bacterium
Lineage: Bacteria
Description: bacterial SSU rRNA
Rfam family: Bacterial small subunit ribosomal RNA
Source: RNAcentral